GAGGAGACGUUCGCCAUUCUGCGGCAUUCUCAAAUGAAGUUCAACUCUAGCAAGUGCGUAUUUGGCGUCACCUUCAGCAAAUUUUUGAGCUUUAUGGUAUCGCAAUAGGGAUUGAAGCAAAUUUCGAAAAGAUUCAAGCUCUCCAAGAGAUGAAACUUUCGAAGACAAUCAAAGAGGUACAGUGACUGGAGGAUCGUGGCUC
Molecule: long non-coding RNA, 202 nt
Filed under: Elaeis guineensis (African oil palm)
Lineage: Eukaryota; Viridiplantae; Streptophyta; Magnoliopsida; Arecales; Arecaceae
Description: long non-coding RNA (EGUI_LNC003005)
Source: RNAcentral